RNAcentral lists this ribosomal RNA (341 nucleotides) under uncultured bacterium. RNAcentral describes it as "bacterial SSU rRNA". It matches the Rfam family "Bacterial small subunit ribosomal RNA", at positions 181 to 507 of the family's 1533-position model. The record is from RNAcentral.
UUUUGCUUCAUGGCGAGAUGUUGAAAGACGGUUUCGGCUGUCACUACAAGAUGGGCCCGCGGCGCAUUAGCUAGUUGGUAGGGUAAUGGCCUACCAAGGCGGACAUGACGUAACCGACCUGAGAGGGUGAUCGGCCACACUGGGACUGAGACACGGCCCAGACUCCUACGGGAGGCAGCAGUAGGGAAUCUUCCACAAUGGACGAAAGUCUGAUGGAGCAACGCCGCGUGAGUGAAGAAGGUUUUCGGAUCGUAAAACUCUGUUGUAAGGGAAGAACACGUACGAGAGUAACUGCUCGUACCUUGACGGUACCUUAUUAGAAAGCCACGGCUAACUACGUG